RNAcentral lists this ribosomal RNA (468 nucleotides) under uncultured bacterium. RNAcentral describes it as "partial 16S ribosomal RNA". It matches the Rfam family "Bacterial small subunit ribosomal RNA", at positions 28 to 507 of the family's 1533-position model. The record is from RNAcentral.
GACGAACGCUGGCGGCGUGCUUAACACAUGCAAGUCGAACGGAAAGGCCCUGCUUUUGUUGGUUUCUCGAGUGGCGAACGGGUGAGUAACACGUGAGUAACCUCCCCUUGACUUUGUGAUAACUUCAGGAAACUGGGGCUCAUACCGGAUAUGAGCUCCUGCUGCAUGGUGGUGGUUGGAAAGUUUCGGCGGUUGUGGAUGUACUCGCGGCUUAUCAGCUUGUUGGUGGGGUAGUGGCUUACCAAGGCUUUGACGGGUAGCCGGCCUGAGAGGGUGACCGGGCACAUUGGGACUGAGAGACGGCCCAGACUGCUACGGGAGGCAGCAGGGGGGAAUAUUGCACAAUGGGCGGAAGCCUGAUGCAGAAACGCCGCGUGCGGGAUGACGGCCUUCGGGGUGAAAACAGCUUUCGACGGUGACGAAGAGUGAGUGACGGUAAUGGGUAAAGAAGCAACGGCUAACUACGUG